This 379-nucleotide ribosomal RNA is filed under the name uncultured eukaryote. Its description in RNAcentral is "partial 18S ribosomal RNA". It matches the Rfam family "Eukaryotic small subunit ribosomal RNA", at positions 592 to 975 of the family's 1831-position model. The record is from RNAcentral.
CAAUAGCGUAUAUUAAAGUUGUUGCAGUUAGAACGCUCGUAGUCGGAUUUCGGGGCGGGCCGACCGGUCUGCCGAUGGGUACGCACUGGUCGGCGCGUCCUUCCUUCCGGAGACCGUGCCUACUCUUAACUGAGCGGGGGCGGGAGACGGAUCGUUUACUUUGAAAAAAUCAGAGUGUUUCAAGCAGGCAGCUCGCUCUUGCAUGGAUUAGCAUGGGAUAAUGAAAUAGGACUUUGGUGCUAUUUUGUUGGUUUCGAACACCGAAGUAAUGAUUAACAGGGACAGUCAGGGGCACUCGUAUUCCGCCGAGAGAGGUGAAAUUCUCAGACCAGCGGAAGACGAACUACUGCGAANGNAUUUGGNAGGGAUGUUUNCACUG